GUAGGUGGCAAGCGUUGUCCGGAAUUAUUGGGCGUAAAGCGCGCGCAGGCGGUUCUUUAAGUCUGAUGUGAAAGCCCACUGCUCAACCGUGGAGGGUCAUUGGAAACUGGAGAACUUGAGUACAGAAGAGGAAAGCGGAAUUCCACGUGUAGCGGUGAAAUGCGUAGAGAUGUGGAGGAACACCAGUGGCGAAGGCGGCUUUCUGGUCUGUAACUGACGCUGAGGCGCGAAAGCGUGGGGAGCAAACAGGAUUAGAUACCCUGGUAGUCCACGCCGUAAACGAUGAGUGCUAAGUGUUAGGGGGUUUUCCGCCCCCCUUAGUGCUGCAGCUAACGCAUUAAGCACUCCGCCUGGGAGUACGGCCGCAAGGCUG
Molecule: ribosomal RNA, 373 nt
Filed under: uncultured organism
Description: partial 16S ribosomal RNA
Rfam family: Bacterial small subunit ribosomal RNA
Source: RNAcentral